UACGUAGGGUGCAAGCGUUGUCCGGAAUUAUUGGGCGUAAAGAGCUCGUAGGCGGUUUGUCGCGUCUGCUGUGAAAACCCGAGGCUCAACCUCGGGCCUGCAGUGGGUACGGGCAGACUAGAGUGCGGUAGGGGAGAUUGGAAUUCCUGGUGUAGCGGUGAAAUGCGCAGAUAUCAGGAGGAACACCGGUGGCGAAGGCGCCACUCUGGGCCGGUACUGACGCUGAGGAGCGAAAGCGUGGGGAGCGAACAGG
This 253-nucleotide ribosomal RNA is filed under the name uncultured bacterium. RNAcentral describes it as "partial 16S ribosomal RNA". It matches the Rfam family "Bacterial small subunit ribosomal RNA", at positions 524 to 776 of the family's 1533-position model. The record is from RNAcentral.